GAGAAACCCCAUCUCUACUAAAAAUACUAAAAUUAGCCGGGUGUGGUGGGCGCCUGUAAUCCCAGCUACUCGGGAGGCUGAGGCAGGAGAAUCGCUUGAACCCGAAAGGUGGAGGUUGCGGUGAGCCGAGAUUGCACCAUUGCACUCCAGCCUGGACAACAAAAGCGAAACUCCAUCUCAAAAAAUAAUAAUAAUAAUAAUAAUAAUAAUAAAGUUCUGGUGGACAUUGCUGCUCUGGGCUUUCCUGAAAAUGCCCCAAUGGGAGCUUCCCGGCCACAGUUGGUGUCGAGGGUCACAUGCCCACCUCUGGGGGCCCAGGAAAAGAGAAGAGUCAGCUGAUCCAACAGAAACAAAGAAACUCAGACACUUGCCGAGCUUGUGCACAGCGCUCUUCUGUGUAGGCGUCACUCACAGUGACCCCUCGGCAUGACCAGGUGAAGCCUGGGUGGGGUUUGGGUUCCUGAUCAGUCAGAAAGACCCCUAGAGCCCAUUCCUCUCGGCAGUCUGCCAGACCCAUGGCAGGGUCAAGCUUGUGCCCCUCCCUCCCCCGCCCCCGCAGAAACGUCUACAAGGACCUGCGGCAGAUCGAGCUGGCCUGUGACUCCCAGGAGGACGUGGACAGCUGGAAGGCCUCGUUCCUCCGAGCCGGCGUCUACCCCGAGAAGGACCAGGCAGAAAACGAGGAUGGGGCCCAGGAGAACACCUUCUCCAUGGACCCCCAACUGGAGCGGCAGGUGGAGACCAUUCGCAACCUGGUGGACUCAUAUGUGGCCAUCAUCAACAAGUCCAUCCGCGACCUCAUGCCAAAGACCAUCAUGCACCUCAUGAUCAACAAUACGAAGGCCUUCAUCCACCACGAGCUGCUGGCUUACCUAUACUCCUCGGCGGACCAGAGCAGCCUCAUGGAGGAGUCGGCCGACCAGGCACAGCGGCGGGAUGACAUGCUGCGCAUGUACCAUGCCCUCAAGGAGGCGCUCAACAUCAUCGGCGACAUCAGCACCAGCACUGUGUCCACGCCUGUACCCCCGCCUGUCGAUGACACCUGGCUCCAGAGCGCCAGCAGCCACAGCCCCACUCCACAGCGCCGACCGGUGUCCAGCAUACACCCCCCUGGCCGGCCCCCAGCGGUGAGGGGCCCUACUCCAGGGCCCCCCCUGAUUCCUGUGCCCGUGGGGGCAGCAGCCUCCUUCUCGGCGCCCCCAAUCCCAUCCCGGCCUGGACCCCAGAGCGUGUUUGCCAACAGUGACCUCUUCCCAGCCCCGCCUCAGAUCCCAUCUCGGCCAGUUCGGAUCCCCCCAGGGAUUCCCCCAGGAGUGCCCAGGCGACCACCUCCAUCGGCUCCCGCACGACCUUUCUUCUGAGCUUCGUGGGAGGCCCCUCCCACCUGUCUGGCUGCCCCCUCACGGGCUGGUCUGUCCUGGCUGGUGUCCCUGAGCCCCAAUCAGCAGGCUCUUGUGAUUUUCUGACCAUAAUUUAUUGACUCCAGUGCCCAGGCCACACCACUCUUUGUUCCAGGAGGCUUCUGCCUAGACUUUGGCCGGGCCAUCCCUCAUGCCUGUGUGGGGCCCCUGCAGGAGAGGGGCCAGGGCAGGUGGUCUUCCAGGCCCCCUUCCUGGCAUUCUGUUACCAGACCUCAACCUGGCUUGGAGGGCCCAGGUUUCCUUGUUAGGCCCUGCCCCGCACCAGGCAACGCUAACACAGGAUGGGAGGCUUAGGCUAAGGCACAUUUACAGUAGAGGGGCCAGAAAAUCCGAGGCUCACGUUCCAACGCUGCAGUGCCCACCAUGUGAGAUUUCCAGGACCGUCGGUGCAGCCGCUGAGCCGUCCCUUCUACAAGCCAGAGGUGUUCCCUGCCCGCUGAGGACGGAAGAAGAUUCAUGGGGCCAGACUGCAGGCCCCGACUGCACACUCCCGUUUUGGCAGGAAACUAAAAUUGGGGAGGGACCCCCAAGUCUCAUAUGCACACACCCUGCUGCCCCUCCUUCGUCCCGUUCUUCCUUCCAUGGCAGGGGCUACGUGGGCACCGGGCGCUUGUCCUGGAAGAAGCGCUUGAGCGUGCAGACCUGCAGCACAGCCACCAGCAGCAGCACUGCCACGUUGACAGCUGACCAGAAGUUGACCCGCUCCAAGUUGCCCUCUUGCAGGUUGCGGUCACGUGCCUCGAAGGCCCGCAGUAGCGUGAGCAUCUGGAUGCUGCGCUCCAGCCGGGUCCGCAUGGUCUCAAUGGACUCCUGCAGGGCAGAGGGACGGGAAGGGUCAGGCCUCCCUCCACCCAUCGGGGAGCAGAGACCAAAAAAACCGGGGGAUAUGGAAGGAGGCUGUAUUAACCCAGGGAGGUACAGCUGCAAACACAGACUUGUUCAGGCUAAGUUCAAAUCCUCACCCUGCCACUCACUGGCUGUGUGACCGUGAGCAACUUAAUUAACCUAUCUGAGCCUGUUUCCUCUUCUAUAAGCUUCCAAAUUGCUGUGAAAAUUUAAUGCCUAAAUAAAUGUACAAGGACG
Molecule: small RNA, 2504 nt
Filed under: Pongo abelii (Sumatran orangutan)
Lineage: Eukaryota; Metazoa; Chordata; Mammalia; Primates; Hominidae
Description: retained intron
Source: RNAcentral